Molecule: long non-coding RNA, 1465 nt
Organism: Felis catus (domestic cat)
Lineage: Eukaryota; Metazoa; Chordata; Mammalia; Carnivora; Felidae
Exons: 3
Source: RefSeq, a predicted model, not a curated record
UCAUCAUCACCAUCAUCAGGUGAGCAGCCUGGUCUCUCGGGUCUGGACUAGAAGCUGAGGUUCUUAUUCCCCUGUAUGCACUCCCCUGUGUUUCCCCAAGCCUGGACUGCCCCCCCACUAUCAUCACCCCCCCACUGCCACAGACAUACACCCCCCACUGCCCACGACCACUGCCACCGGCACCCCACAAACCAGUCCCUGAGACGGCACACCUGCCACCCCAUCACACACUCCCAUCCACACCACUUGGGUCGCACAAGGGACACCACCACUGCACACGCCCCCAGCACCCUCAGGAGGUGUUUUCUCUAAGACCAUGCGCACAGCGCCCAGGGCUCGGAGCCCCCCUCUUCCAUGAUAACAAUGUUUAAGCAGCACACAGCUGCCGGGAACGGAGGCCCCAUCUCCAGCAGCUGUGGUCACGUGGCUAAGUUCUGGCCAAUGCAGAGGAACAUCCGGGGCCUGUCUUGCCCUUCCUGGGAGCCACCCUGAGCCACGCAGACCGGCCGCUACACGCACGGGGAGCCCCAAGAUUGAAAAAGCCUGGCGGCGGAAAGCUCCGAUGGCUACAUUACAGCAGAGCCACCAAAGCAGGCUGCACGGGAGAGGACAGGGAAGUAAAGCCGUUAUCGUUUUCUCUGUCACACGCCGCUGAACCUGGAGGUGCAGCCGGCAUUCUGGAAUCGUCCCUCUGAGCAAGUUCUCUGCUGGCAAGUGGCCAGGAGCCUAGGGCCAAGCGGCUGCAGUCCAGGGACAGUGUCUGCUCCUGGGUUAAAUCUUCUUCAGGUGCCACACGGGCGGUCAGAGCCCCCUGCUCACAACUGUGCCAAAUGAGGGAUCUAAGAGACAACGCUGACUCACCAGCCAGGAACUGCCGGCCAUUUCACAGACACUCCUCUUCCCAUGAUACAUGAAAAUCAAGUCGACAAGAAUCAAAAAAUUCCCCCUUUGACAAAUUCAUUCAACAAUUAUCGAGUACCAACUACGUGCUGGGUUCCAUGCCGGGUGCUGGGAAUACGGAAGUUGACGGUGUAUCCGGUGGACAGCAUACCCAGUCCUGCACCAGUGGGUGGAAGCCGAGCCUCUCCACGGUCUGCCUUUCUCUUUAGAAGUUUCUGGGUGAGAGACCACCCGGCCUCGCGCACCACAAGGGGGAGUGCCCCGGGUACCCGCCCUGACGGCAUGGAGACAGCUAUGUUUAGCAUUUCCUGAUGGAACCAAAAUCUGUAGUCAAGAAAAGCUGGUCCUGGCCAAAACAUUGACUUUUGGAUGAGAACGAUGUCUUCAAUAAUAAUCCUGCCAAAACCACUGCCUCAUGCAUUAGCCCUCUCCCUAGAGGGUGACGGGAACCAGUAAGUGACAGAAAACUCAACUUGUACAGCCUGGGGAAAAAAAAUCGACUCUGAUUUUGUUUUUGUUUUUGUUUUCUGUAAGCACAAAAAUAAAUGCAUAUUUUACUACCAAA